UUGAUUAUCUAAGUAAUAAAUUAUAUCUCAUUAAAAAUAUUCUACAUAUAAAAUUUCACAUCAUUCCCGUUAACUUUUUUAACGGUAUUUUCAUUAAAUCUGUUAGAAAAAACACAUUGAGAAAAAAAACAAAAGUUGAUGGCCAAAAAAGCUCAAAAAUAUAAUUAGUACUGUGAUACCCAAUUGUUGCCCAGGGCCCAAAUUAACCAAUUCUGACCCAAUAAGGCCCAAAUCAUUACAAAUCCCAAACCGAAGUCUAACCCUGGCCUAACCCUAAACAGCUAGCAGCAAAAUUAGCAGCCGCGGCAACCUCACCCACGCCUCAACAUCGCCCCAUGUUCAGCACUUUGCGCACGUCCUCCACGACCUUCAUACCUGCGAAAAACUGAUCCAAACAGCAAUAGAUGUAAAAAUAACAAAAUAGAUUUUUAUUUAUUGAUUUUGAUUAUUAUUUGGGGGGUUGGAUAUAAAAGGGCGAUUUCAAUCUGUAAAGGGGUUAGCAAUAUUGUAUGAAAAAAAUCUUAAAGAAAAUACGAAAAUAAGGAAUCAAAAAGGCAAAUUUUUGAAGGUAAUUGUUCUGUUCCUUUUUUUUAUUUGUUUUUCCUUUUUCAUUGUCUAUCUUGUUUCUUAAAACAAAAGCGGAAGAGGGAAGUAGAGGAGGACUUUUCGUCGCAUGCGGCGUUGAGGGAUCUUCAUUCCAUCGUCGGAAUGAAAGGAAUGCAGAGCGGCAGUGGGAAAGGGAGGCUGCGGCAAAACACAAAAAUGACAGAGAAAGGGAAUGAAUUUAGGGUUUUAAAAUGAGAUUUUAUAAGAGUUCAAAAGGGGCCAUUUGCGCGAUUGGUCCUUUGCUUUUUGUGGUUGUUUAAAUUAAAUUUAUUAUUUCUUUUAAAUUUUACUGCAUAUUUAAAUAUUGUUUCCAUUCGGUCCUCGUUGCUGUGAAGUGUUUGGGAGGUUUGGGUAAAUUUCUCUUUGGUCCUCCACUGCUAAUUGUGUGUUCUAAUUGGUCCAUUCGUAUUUUAUUCUUUUCAAAUUUACCUCGUUUUUUAAAUUAAAGUUUAAAUUAAUCCUUCAUUUGUCAUUUUAAGGUUUUUUUUAUAAAUACUGUUAGAUUGUUAUUAUUACUGUAAUAUUAUUAGUAUUAAAUAUUAUAUUAAAUAUUAAUAUUAUUAUACCUAUAUGUAUAUACGCAUAUGUAUGUUAAUAAAUAUAUGUACAUAUUUUAAAUGGUUUUAAAAUAUAUAUACAUGUCUUAUAUAUUUUAUUAUUAUUACUUUAGUUUUCUUAGUUUUAUAUGCAUACGUACAUAUACUUAUAUUUUAUGAUUUUCAUAUUGUUUUUCAUAUUUUUUUAAAUUCAAAUAUAUAUAUUCUUAAUAUAUGUAUAUACAUACACUCUUCAAAAUUAUUAAGUAUAUUUUCUGCAAUUUUCUUGCAUAUACAUAUAUAUACGCAUUUUUCAUAAUUUAUUUUACUUAUUUUUUUAUAUAUACCUAUACAUAUUUUACACUUUAUUUUCAUAACUUUUAUAUACAUGUUUAAUAUAUGCAUAUGCAUUUUAAAAAAUUACUUAUAUAUCAUAUUUUAUUUUGUAAAUACAUAUACAUGUAUAAUUUAAAUUAAAAUAAUAAUUUCAUGUUAUGCAUUAACAUAGAAAAAUAUAUUUUGGCUUUGUCAAAGCAUUAAAAUCAUCAUAUUUAAAGUUUUUUUUUAAAAUAUUUGGCAAUCUUGGUUCUCGAGAAAGAUCGUGUCCUAACUUACUGGAUCGCGAUUAUUUUUCGACGGAUUUAGAAAGCCGAGUAUUUAUUUUGCAAUAAGUUCACAUAAAUUUCAAAUAAAAGCUUGUUCUCGGGAAUCUAAAUGUCGGGUCCUAACUUACUGGUCCUGAUAUUUUGAUUUCUUGAAAUAAGAAUUUCUAAAACAACAAGGAGUUAUUCGGUAUUUGAAAUUUUGAGAAAUUGUGCCCUAACUUACUGGUUUUGAUUUUCUUCAUUUGAUCCAAAUAAUCGAAUAUCCUUCUUAGAUUUAACCGUGUGAGUUUUAAAAUCAAAAGACAAACUUAAUUUUGAAGAUUUAAAAGUAUUGUGCACUAACUCACUGGGUGUGAUACUUUAUUUCUUUGAAACAAGAAUGUUUUAUCAUUUUAAUUCGUUCACGAGUUAAAACUUUUCUUUUGGAAUCUUUUCAAAUUUUCGACACCAAGACAUUAAAUAAUAAAUUUGGUACCAAUUUUGGGCGGUACGAGGGUGCUAACCCUUCCUCGUGUGUAACUGACUCUCGAACCCAUUUUUUCUCAGAUUUUGUAGACUAGAAUUGUUUUAUGGUGAGCCGAUCACACCUUAAUAAAGGAUUGGUGCCGACUCCAGUUUUUUUUUUAAAGUCGACAACUAAAUUUUUGUUUUCAAAAAAAUGGUUUCGACAGCUUGGCGACUCCACUGGGGACCUAGAGAGUCGAGCCAUAAAUUGAUUAUUUUGUGUCUUUUUGUCGAAAAUUAAUGUUGUUUUAGUAAUGAUUUCCCCUUUUACAUUCAUUGGUUUUCAUUGUUACGUGUUUGUUUGAUUGGCUUAAAUUUGUUAGUUUAUUUGCAUUUUGCAUUUCAUAAAGUCAGUUUUUUUACCCUUUUAAGUGGGAGUGAAAAGCUAGUCCUUCGUGAGGUUUUCACCUCCGUACAGGGUAGUGGAUCGCUUUCGGGAUACAUCUGUACCUAUGUCUUCGUGAGAUUUUCAUCUCCGUGUAGCCAUAGGGAAAUGUGUCCCCCUGAACUGAACUCGGUCUGUAUGAGCCUAUAAUGGGUGAGGAUCAAGGAAUCUGCUGGUUCGGGUACCUUUGCCCUAGAAGCCAAACCUCAUAUAGUGAACUUUAGGAACUUGCCCUAGGUAGAACUAUACUAAACCUUAGUAGUCAUCCGAUUAGGGAUUUUAUUGUUUUCAGUUUGUUUUUGUACCUGAUACUGACUGUUUGUGUUUUUUUCUGAUUGCAUGAAAUUACAUGGCAUUUCAUUAUAAAGGCGUUGGUUCAUAUUCGGUUGCUAAACAGAAAGCUUAUCAUGGGAAAUGGGUUUCUUGAUAUAGUGGAGGACAAUGCGGCUGUCCGAACUUGGGCUGAAAUGACACAGCGUGAAAAAGGUGAUAGUUUGGCCGAGGGAUAUGUAUCGAAAUUAUGGGACUUCACCCGUGUUAGCGUAGCUCAAAAUAACUUGCAGGGGUUGAAGGAGAUAUGGGAUCAGUGGAAUAAUGAGGUUAGGCAGUUAUUCUAUUCAAAUUAUGGAGAUUUACCUUAUUUACUUGAUAUGAAGGUAGACAAGCGUCUAUUUUGAGCUCUUGCCCAGUUUUAGAAUCCGGCCUACAAUUGCUUCACGUUUGGAAAGGUUGAUUUGGUGCCUACAAUAGAGGAGUACAUGGCUUUACUUCGGUGUUCGAGAGUUCAAGUAGAUAGAAUUUAUUCAAAAGCGGUAAAUGUACCGACCUUCUUGAGGAAGCUGAUGAAUAUAAUGGGGAUGAGCGAGCAAUGGGUUACAACUGAGAUUAAGCAAAAGGGGGAUAGUAGGUGUAUUCCUUGGAAAAAUUUGAAAGACCUCAUCUUAACGCACCCAGACGCGAGGAAGAGGGUAGAUGUCUUUGCUUUAAGUAUAUAUGGUUUGAUUGUGUUUCCUAAGACUUUGAGAUAUGUGGACGAGGCGGUCACUGACUUAUUUGACCAGCUUGAUAAGAGAGUUACACCAGUCCCAGUGAUUUUGGCAGAAACCUUCAGGUCAUUGAAUGCAUGCCGGAGAGUGGGAGAGCGUAGGUUUAUUGGAUGUGCACAGCUUCUACUUGCUUGGUUCCACAGUCACUUUUGGAAGGAUGAUAGGGUUUCAUAUCGGGUCUUCUCUGAAAGUUAUUCACCAUUAAAGGAGAUAGUGGCUACGCCUAGGAGAGAUGACAUCUUGGAGGAGAAAUGAAUGGCAAUUUUUUAGAAUUUGCAAGAGGAGGAUAUCGAGUGGAGAGCUCCAUGGUUGCUUCCAGAUGAGGUCCUAUAUCGGUGUGGGGGUUUUGACUGGGUUCCUUUGCUUGGAAUUUGGGGAGCUGUUGAUUAUGCUCCAUUGUUAGUGUUGAGGUAAUACAGGUCAAGACAGUUUGUGCCUACAACUCAUGGACUGGCUGAGUGUGAAUUCUCGUAUAAAGAUAAUGGUUACAAAAAGAAAGCUCGUGAUAUGGCCAAUGCGUGGAAUUAAACUCGCCGAAUGAAGAGAUUAGUUGUGGGUCCAAUGACAACUCCCGAGUACAGCGAAUGGUGGGUUAAGAGGAUCAACGAUAACAUUCCUGGGCCGAGUCUGGAAAAUAGUCAGUCGAUAGAAGAGCAUUUGCGUCUCGUCCCCACUGAGCUAGAGAUCAUAAAACAGGACUUUGAAAGGAAGAAUGCAGAAUUAGAGAAGAAAAUAUAGCAAAUGGAGGAAGAGAAAGUGAAUUUGAGACUGAAUGUGGAUGUUCAGAAACUCGAGGCUGAUAAACUAAGAAAGGGGAAGAAUAAGGCCGAAGAAGAGCUAGAUAGCUUGAAGACAGAUUACAAGAAGCUGCAUCUGUCCAUGAGAACUGCCGGGCUUGGAAAGACUUCAGAGCAGUGGCGUAAAAAAAUUCGAGAGGAAAGAAAUAAGUCAGACAGGUGGGAAAGGAAAUUUCGAGAGGUACAAGCACAAAAUGAAGCCUUGGAGAAGAGCUUGUCAGAGAGUCAAAAGGAAAAAGGAGAACUAAAAGACAGAGUAAUUGAGUUAGAAGGGUCUCUUCAUCAACAUAGAAGUCAAAAUUCUGUAUUAGAGCUAAAAGCAAGUCUGAGCAAGAUCGAAGAGAUGAAGGGUAAAAUAUAAGAGUUAGAAACAGCAUUGCGGAGGUGUGAGGUUCAAAUUGAGCAUCUAGAGGCAAAAGAAGGUCAUCAGAAUGAGCAACUUCAUUAUUUCCAGGAUCAAGUCAGGAGUAGAGAUCACGUUAUGGGAGAAGCUGUGAUGUAGAUUCAAGAAGUGGCAGAUCACUUGAAAACUUUGGCAGUGCAGGCCGACAUGUUGAGCGUGAAGUACGAGCUAGAGUAAGAUCGAGGACAAGAGUUAGCAUCGUUGCUUAAAAAGAUCAAGGUCUUAAGUAUUAGGGAAAAGCCAUAUUUGUAGCCUAUUCUAUGUAAAGAGAUUUAUUUUCUAAUAAAGUUUUUCUGAAAGUAAUUGAAAUUAGAAUUAACGCCUUUUCUGCAUUGCAUUUUCAUACAUCGCAUUGCAUGCAUUAAAAAUUAUUAAAGGGUUCUGAUUAAUCAAAAUCAUUCCUCAAUUAACCUAGAAUCUAACCAGCCAACUCAGCACCAUUACGGUACACGAGCGAAAUGAAGAAGUAUGGAUCAAAGAUUAGAAAAGCUUGAGCAAUUCCAGAAGGAAACGCAGGAUCAGCUUCAGCAGCAAAUAAAGGAACAUCUCGAGAAGAUUCAACAAAGUUUGAUAGAUAAAAUGGUAGAAUCUCAAGGAAGCAUGAUGACACAGUUAACGAGGUUGUUGACUGAAGGGAAAGAUAAGGGAAAGAGUCCUGUAACCAAUAUUGAAGAGGAAGGUGAGGAUGGACUCCAGUAUCCUCCAGGCUUUACUCCUUUACAUGCACAGCCUCAAGUUGAAGUAUACCCGCGUAAAUCUUCUGUUACAAUUAGGCCUCAACAAUUUCAGACCGAUGCUUCGAGGUCAAUGAAUUUCCAGGUCGGAUCAGGCUCUAGUCCUGAGGACAAUCCUACCAAUCCUAUUGUUCCUGAUUUCGAGAAAGCAGUUGAAAAAGAUAAAAUGAAAGAGGUAUUACCAAAGUAAUUUGAAGAAAGAUGGAAGUGGAUUGAGGAGAAAUUCAAAGCAAUGGAAACUACUAAGAGAUGUUAGGGGAUUGAUGCUAAGGAUUUAAGUUUGGUACCGGAUUUGGUGCUUCCUUACAAGUUUAAAAUGCCAGAUUUUGAGAAGUAUAAUGGGACUACUUGCCCUGAGGCCCACAUUACUAUGUUUUGUAGGUGAAUGACUGGGUAUGUCAAUAAUGACCAGUUAUUGAUACACUGUUUUCAAGAUAGCCUCACGGGGGCAGUGUCUAAAUGGUAUAAUCAAUUAAGUCGUGCUAGGAUUAGCUCUUGGAGGGAUUUAGCACAGGCUUUUAUGAAACAGUACAGUCAUGUAGCGGAAAUGGUUCCUGAUAGGAUUACCUUGCAGAACAUGGAGAAAAAGUCGAAUGAAGGUUUUAGAUAGUACGCUCAGAGGUGGAGGGAGGUGGCAGUGCAGGUCCAACCACCGCUCCUUGAAAGAGAAAUGACGAUGCUCUUUGUAAAUAUGCUGAAGGCCCCCUUCAUCACACAUAUGUUAGGCAGUGCCACGAAAAAUUUUGCUGACAUAGUCAUGAGUGGUGAGAUGAUUGAAAGUUCUAUAAAGAGCGAGAAUAUUGAUGUUGGAGAGAACAACAUAAGGUAAAACUCAAAGAAAAAAGAAAGCGAGGUGAACAACGUGAAUACAUAUAAUAAGUCAAUUACGGUGAAUCACAAGAAGAUAGUGGCAGGUCAACAGGGUUCAUCAAAACAGGAAUCUGGUGUGAGGCCAAAUACUGAGAGGCCUCAGUUCACACCCAUCCCUAUGUCAUACAAAGAGUUGUAUCAGAAUUUAUUUAACGCGCACGUUGUUGCCCCAUUUUAUUUGACUCCUUUACGGCCUCCAUAUCCUAAAUGGUAUGACUCGAAUACACAAUGCGAUUACCAUGCAGGAGUUACGGGGCAUUCCAUAGAGUAUUGUACUGCUUUUAAAAAGCUUGUUGAGAAGCUCAUUAAGAUGGGCAUUGUCAAGGUGGAUGAUUCAUCAGGUACGGAAAAUCCAUUACCCAAUUAUACUGAUGCUAGGGUAAACAUGGUGGGUGAAGGUACGGGGAAGAAGGUCAAGGAGAAUAUUGCUGAGGUAAAGAUCCCUUUGAAGAGGGUUUGGAAAGAAAUGGUAGGAAGAGGGUUAAUUGUUUCGGAUUUGGUGGGGGGUGGCAAUACCCAAAAUUAUUGUGAGUUCCAUCAUGAGGUGGGACACGAAAUUUAGGGAUGUGGGAAAUUCAUGGCUCUGGUUCAGAGCAUGAUGGAUAAUGGAGAAAUAGAGUUUUUUAAAGAGGAAGAAAGAAAAGGAAGUAUAUGCGCAUCAGAGUCGGAGACGAGGAUUCCGAAAGUUAAUCAUCCUGUCAUUAUCAUCUCGCGCCCUAGGGUUACUGAAGUCAGGGCACAGGUGACACCAAAGAUUGUCAUUCAGAAGCUGACGAAGUUUUCGUAUAAGGAUAGCAAGAAGAUCCCCUAGAAUUAUGAGUACGAGGUAACAGUUUUGGGAAAGGAAGCUUCAGUCAGUGUUGCGAAAGAAAACCAAAAGACAGGUUUUUGUAUGAAUACUAAGAAGCAUGGUGGUUGGAUAAAUUCCCAAAUAGAAUUGGUAGAGGGAAUAGUCUUUGCAGUAGAGCAAAAGGAAGAGAAGAGGGUUGACUUAAGGCCAUUGAUUAAUGAGCCAAUAAAGGAAGAAGAGGCCACUGAAUUCUUAAAAUUUCUGAAGCACAGUGAGUAUAGCGUAGUAGAGCAGCUGCAUAAGCAACCAACUCGUAUAUCUGUGUUGGCUUUGCUCAUGAAUUCAAAGGUACAUCGAAAUGCACUGAUAAUUUUAUCUUCUUCAAUGAUGACAAAAUACCUGCGGGAGGUAUGGGGUCCACUAAAGCUUUGCACAUUACUAUUUGGUGUAAAGGGUACAUGCUACCAGGAGUUUUGAUUGAUAAUGGAUUCGCAUUGAAUGUACUUCCCUUAUCUACUCUCAACAGGCUACCUGUGGAUAGCUCACAUAUGAAAACGUGCCAAAAUGUGGUAAGGGCGUUUGAUGGAACGGAAAUGAAGGUUUUGGGAAGAAUUGAGAUACCAUUGUUGAUUGGCCCAAAUACUUAUGAAGUAGAUUUCAUUGGAUAUCAAGCCUUCAUAUAACUGUUUAUUGGGGAGACCUUGGAUACAUUCGACAGGGGCUGUGGCUUCAUCGCUGCAUCAGAAGUUAAAAUUAGUGUUAGAAGGACGGUUAGUGACAAUAAAUGCUGAAGAAGGUAUUAUUGCGUCAAUAACCAACAAUACACCAUACGUGGAGACGGAUGAGGAGGCGGUGGAGUGUUCUUUCUGGACUUUAGAAUUCAUAAAGUCAACAUUUAUUGCUGUGGGGAAUAGAAUUCCAGUACCGAAGAUAUCCAGGACUACAAGAAUGAGACUUCAAUUAAUGGUGGGAAAAGGAGCUGUACCGGGAAAAGGAUUGGGAAGAUAUUUGGACGGAGGAGUUGAAGCACCAGUGAUGAAAGAAAAGUUUAAUCAUUUUGGUCUGGGCUAUAGACCAGAUGUAAAACAAAGAAGAAAGGAAAUGGAGAAAAGAUAGGAGAGAAGAACGGCAUGCCUGAGUGGAAAUAAAGUUAGGUGGGAGCCUAUGGCUUUUCCUCACAUAUCCAAGACCUUCGUAUCAGGAGGGUUUAUUCAUUCGGAACGAAGAGUGCUUGAAGUGGAAGGUGUUGAAGAAAUGCUGGGAGAUGUUCACAUCAAUGCCCUAGACACAGGUGAAAGAGAGACCUUGCUAGAGAUUCGCCCUUACGAGCCUGGAAGUGAUCUAAACAAUUGGACUGUGGAAGAGAUUCCUAUAGUUUUUAGAGCUUGUUCAGAGUAAAUAUGCAAAACAUCGUUGUUGUUUUUACUUAAGAUAUAUAGGAAUGUCUUUAUGGAUUAUGCAUAUGUUGAACGUUAUAAUAAAUACACUUUUUCAUAUGCAUUUUUUGAGCCAGUAUUCUUUCAUUCUUUUUCGAGUAAUUAUUCUUUUAUUCUUUUUCUACAUCAUUCUUUUAUUCAUUUCAUAAUCAUAUUUUGUUCAUAAAUUCAUACAUUCUUUGUAUAUUCUUUGGAACUUAUCAUAGGUCCCCGGAUAUCAAUGAUAUGAAUGACACUGUUUCGGACUCAGAAUCACCUUUUGAACAAGACAUGUGUUUAAAGGGAUCACAGGAUUUUGAAGAUGACAUAGACUGUGAUGUAUCUCCGGACUUAUUGAGAAUGGUAGAAUAGAAAGAUAAGCAAAUAUUACCUCAUAAAGAAUCAUUGGAGAUUGUGAGUCUAGAGGAGGGAAAAGAGGUAAAGAUUGGAACUGACAUUUCCGUCAAGACAAGGCAAGACCUCAUUGAAUUACUCCGUGAAUUCAAAGAUGUCUUUGCGUGGUCAUAUCAGGAUAUGCUUGGGUUAAGCACUGAUAUUGUGGUACACUGUCUUCCUAUAAAAGAGGAUUGCAAGUCAGUUCAGCAGAAGCUCAGAAGAAUGAGGCCUGACAUUGUGCUAAAGAUAAAAGAAGAAGUCAAGAAACAGUUUGAUGCUGGGCUCCUACAAGAGGUCAAGUAUUCAGAAUGGGUAGCUAAUGUUGUCCCUGUCCCAAAAAAAGAUGGGAAGGUGCGAAUGUGUGUGGAUUACAGGGAUUUGAACAGGGCCAGUCCAAAAGAUAAUUUUCCGUUGCCUCACAUUAAUACUUUGGUAGAUAAUACUGCAGGCUAUUCAUUGUUUUCUUUCAUGGACGGUUUUUCUGGAUACAAUCAAAUAAAGAUGCAUCCAGAAGAUAUGAGAAAGACCACAUUUAUCACUUUGUGGGGAACGUUCUGUUAUAAAGUGAUGCCCUUUGGAUUAAAGAAUGCGAAGGCAACUUAUCAAAGAGCUAUGGUAACUUUGUUUCAUGACAUGAUGCAUAAGGAGAUUGAGGUUUAUGUUGACGAUAUGAUUGCAAAAUCCAAAAAGAAAGAGGAGCAUGUUCAAGUUCUGCGGAAAUUAUUUUUGAGACUAAGGAAUUUCCAGCUCAAGCUUAAUCCAACAAAGUGCACCUUCGGGGCUAGAUCAAGGAAGUUGUUGGGCUUCAUAGUUAGUGGGAAAGGGAUUGAAGUUGACCCAGACAAAGUUAGGGCAAUACAAGAUUUACCUCCACCACACACUUGGAAAAAAGUACGGGGUUUUUUGGGGAGACUGAAUUACAUUUCUCGGUUUAUUUCACAAUUAACUGAGAAAUACGAUCCCAUAUUCUGUCUUCUAAAGAAGCAUAAUCCGGCCGUAUGGGAUGAAGAAUGUCAGAAGGCUUUUGACAAAAUAAAACAAUAUUUGUCUGAACCUCCAGUGCUAUCACCACCUAGUUUGGAUAGGCCAUUAAUACUAUAUUUAACAGUGUUUGACAAUUCCAUGGGGUGCAUGUUAGGCCAACAUGAUGAGACAGGGAGAAAAGAAAGGGCAAUAUACUAUCUCAGUAAGAAAUUCACUGAUUGUGAAGCGAGAUAUUCAGCUAUUGAGAAGUUGUGUUGUGCUUUGGUUUGGACAACUCGAAGAUUACCGCAAUAUAUGCUGUAUCAUACGACAUUGCUAAUUUCAAAUUUAGACCCUUUAAAGUAUAUGAUGGAGUUGACUGCUUUGAAUGGGAGAAUGGCUAGAUGGCAUAUCUUGCUUUCUGAAUUUGACAUAGCAUAUGUAAGUCAGAAGGCUGUGAAAGGGAGCGCAAUAGCUGACUUUUUAGCUAGCAGAGCUUUGGUGGAUUAUGAGCCUUUGAACUUUGAUUUCCCAAAUGAGAAUUUGAUGUGUGUGGCAACCACUGAAGAAAAUUCCCAAAUGGAUCAGGUGUGGAAGUUAAAUUUUGAUGGAGCCGCAAAUGCUGUGGGGAAUGGAAUUGGGGCAAUCUUAGUAUCUCCAAGUGGAGAUCACUAUCCUAUUGCUAGCAAAUUAGAUUUUGAUUGUACGAACAAUAUGACAGAAUAUGAAGCGUGCAUUAUGGGUAUUCGUGUAGCCAUCGAACGUAAAAUUAAAGUGUUAGAAGUAUAUGGGGAUUCCCCAUUGGUGAUAUACCAACUCAAAGGAGAAGGGAGACAAGAGACCCUAAACUGAUCAAUUAUUGAAAGAUAGUUCUUGAAUUAAUGGAUGAGUUUGAUGACAUUACUUUUUGUUAUCUUCCACGAGAUGAGAAUCAGAUGGCUGAUGCGCUGGCUACCUUAGCCUCCAUAAUCAGAGUGAAUAGGUUAGAGGACGUGAAGCCUAUUCAGAUGAGUAUUUCUGAAACCCCGGCUCAUUAUUAUAAUAUUGAGGAAGAGGAAAAAGAUGACCAUCCUUGGUAUUUGGAUAUAUUGCGAUAUGUGAAAAAUUGUGAGUAUCCAGAUCAGGCAACGGAGAAUGAUAGGAAAGCAUUGAGAAGAUUGGCAAUUGGCUAUGUCCUAGAUGGAGAGAACCUAUACAAAAAAUGGAAGGAUCAAGUACUGCGAAGAUGUGUGGACGCAGUGGAAGUUAGAAAAAUUCUAGAAAAAGUCCAUGAUGGUAUUUGUGGAACGCAUGCAAAUGGUUUCACAAUGGCCAAGCAGGUCAUGAGAUUUGGGUAUUAUUGGUCUACUAUGGAAAGAGAUUGCAUCAACUAUGCUAAAAAGUGCCAUAAAUGCCAAAUUUAUGGCGAUAAAAUGCAUGCACCUCCUUCACUUCUUCAUGUUAUGACUUCUUCAUGGCCUUUCUCUAUGUGGGGUAUGAACGUCAUUGGGCCAAUAUCGCCAAAAGCUUCUAAUGGGCAUCGCUUCAUUUUUGUGGUUAUUGACUACUUUACCAAGUGGGUAGAAGCUGCUUCAUAUGCAAAUGUCACAAAGUCAGCAGUUAGCAGGUUCUUAAAGAAGGAAAUCAUAUGUCGAUAUGGAAUGCCUGAGAGGAUCAUAUCUGAUAAUGCGCUGAAUUUGAACAAUAGUGCAAUAGCGGAGGUCUGCAGUCAAUUCGGGAUCAGGCAUCAUAACUCGUCGCCAUACCGCCCAAAGAUGAAUGGUGUAGUAGAAGCAGCCAAUAAGAAUAUCAAGAAAAUUGUGGGAAAGAUGACUGAGACUUACAAGGAUUGGCAUGAGAAAUUACUAUUCGCUCUCUUUGCUUAUAGAACGUCUGUCAGGACUUCGACUGGGGCAAUGCCUUUCUCUUUGGUUUAUGGGAUGGAAGCAGUCUUACCUAUUGAGAUAGAAAUCCUUCUCUCCGGGUAUUAUCUGAAUUGAAAUUGGAUGAGGCAGAAUGGGUUCAAUCUCGUUACGAUCAAUUGAACUUAAUAGAAGGGAAAAAGCUAAAGGCUGUUCAGCAUGGUCAAAUGUAUCAAAAGCGGAUGAUGCGGGCCUACAACAAAAAGGUUCGUCCUAGAGAAUUUAAUGAAGGGGAGCUGGUGUUGAAAAAGAUCAUUCCUAUACAAAAGGAUUUUAGAGGAAAAUGGAUGCCAAGGUCCAUAUGUUGUAAAGAAAGCCUUUUUAGGGGGAGCUUUGAUCUUGAAUGAGAUGGAUGACAAAGAUUUGCCAAACCCUAUAAACUCAGAUUCAGUUAAGAAAUAUUUUUCUUAAAAAAAAACGCAUGGAGAGGCCAAGGUGAAAACCCGCAAAGGGCGCCUUGAGACCAAAGGGGAUUUGAGUUGAAAACCUGAAAAAGGGCAGCUCAAAUGUUGAACAAGUGAGGCAUCUAGUGAUCUUGCAAUGAUUGAAUUAGUGGGAAAUAGGACGCAACAUCUUGAGGCAUCAUCAGAGUACUGUAGAUCUUCUAAGCACUGUCGAACUCAGAAUGGUCUUCAGAUAGUUUGUGCAGAGAAGUUCAAACUGCGAUAUCUGAGGCGCCUAGUCUUCUCAGUAUUUAUAUCUUGGAAUACCUUAUUCUUUUUCAAGAUUUGUGUUUCUAAUCCAUUUUUUUAUUCUUAGUGUUCUUUAUGAUUUAUUUAUCUUGAGUUUUAUUAUCAAUGAAUUUCAUCUUGUCAAUUUCGAUAGUUUUAUUCAAACAUUUUUUCAUUGAAAUAAUGGGAUAAUAAUACUUUUAUAAGCGAAAUUUUGCAUAUUAUUCUAGAAGUUUCUAAAUAAUACGGGAACCUGAAAUAGGACUAUUGUUUAGAACACACCAGGUUUAAAGGUUGAAAUAUCUGGGAAGGAAAAGUCUAAGUUGAGACCAUCCUUUUAGAUUUUGUUAUCAAAAUAUUGAUUGAACAAAAUGGCAAGUUAUGCGAUAGCCAACAUGUAGGUUGGUGAUGAGGUUUAAAUGAACAGGUAAGUGAUUAUCACCGAGCAAUAGAAAGGGGUUUCCUUGGAGAAGAGGAUCCUUCAUUUGUGGAUAAACAUUUGGUAUGACACCCUGGGAAUGGGGUAAAAGACCAAAGAGCUUCACAUUCUGGAUUCUUGAAUUCUGAUAGGAGAUGAUUGAAAAAGCCCGAUUUUUCUACCCUUGGGUCACAAUUGGAGAAUGAUGGUACAAAUUUUGCGUCCCAGUGGAUUGAACUUUGAAGUUUACAGCGGGGCAACUGGAUUAAGUGCUUUUGGAGAUGCUAGCUAAGUAAGAAGGCGUUGUAGCACGUCAGCGAUAAAGCCUUAAUAAACUUUGAGUAAUGAUUACCUAAGCAUUAAGGAGGGAUCAUUCUUGAAAUAAUAUUCUACAUUCAUUCAAAUGUCAUUCAUACACGUCUAGUUAGGAGCAUUUGAAUUCAUUCUGAUCAUGACAUCCUAAUCACUAGGCGUAAUUAGGUUCAUAAAUUGAAUUGUACAGGUCAUAUUCCUCAGAGAACAGAUCGAAGAAAGUAAUCCUAUCUCCCUGAAGUUGCAGUGGAGCGGAUUAAAAUUAGAUCUCACCUCUCUGAAGUUGCAGAGAGCAUGUCGCAUCCAGUCUUAUCUCCCUGAAGAUGCAGCGGAGUAGACAGAAGAAAGUAAUCUUAUCCCCCUAAAGUUGUAGUGGAGCGGAUUAAAAUCAGAUCUCACCUCUCUGAAGUUGCAGAGAGCAUAUCGCAUCCAGUCUUAUCUCCCUGAAGUUGCAGUAGAGCAGACAGGAGAAAUCAAUCCUAUCUCCCUGAAGUUGCAGUGGAGCGGAUUAAAAUCACAGAUCUUGUCUCUUUAAAGUUGUAGUAGAACAGAUGACAUCAGACUUAUCCUUAAAGUUGCAGCAGAAUAAGUCGAAGCUACAGGUCUUAUCUCUCUGAGGUUGUAGUGGAGCAGACUAAAGAUAGCAAAUUUUUGUUCUUUUGAGAAGGUACAAGGUACAAGUCCUAUCUCCCUGAUGUUGUAGUGGAGUGGAUUGAAGCACCGAUUCUUAAACCUCUGAAAACUCAGUAAGUUGGAAUGAGGCUACUUGAAGAACGCUAAAGUCCAACAUGCUCGGGCAAAAUUGGCUAUCUUAAAGUCUUUGCUCUGUUCUCGUUUUACGACAACAAGCAAAGAGGGGCAAUUGUGAUACCCAAUUAUUGCCCAGGGCCCAAAUUAACCAAUUUUAACCCAAUUACAUUUGGCCCAAUAAGGCCCAAAUCAUUACAAAUCCCAAACCCAAGUCUAACCUUGGCCUAACCCUAAACAGCUAGCAGCAAAGUCAGCAGCCGCGGCAACCUCACCCACGCCUCAACAUCGCCCCAUGUUCAGCACUUUGCGCACGUCCUCCACGACCUUCAUACCUGCGAAAAAUUGAUCCAAACGGCAAUAGAUGUAAAAAUAACAGAAUAGAUUUUUAUUUAUUGAUUUUGAUUAUUAUUUGGGGGGUCGAAUAUAAAAGGGCAAUUUCAAUCUGUAAAGGGGUUAGCAAUAUUGUAUGAAAAAAAUAUUAAAGAAAAUACGAAAAUAAGGAAUCAAAAAGGCAAAAUUUUGAAGGUAAUUGUUCUGUUCCUUUUUUUAUUUGUUUUUCCUUUUUCAUUGUCUUUCUUGUUUCUUAAAACAAAAGCGGAAGAGGGAAGUAGAGGAGGACUUUUCGUCGCAUGCGGCGUUGAGGGAUCUUCAUUCCAUCGUCGGAAUGAGAGGAAUGCAGAGCGGCAGUGGGAAAGGGAGGCUGCGGCAAAACACAAAA
This 14820-nucleotide long non-coding RNA is filed under the name Gossypium raimondii (Peruvian cotton). Its description in RNAcentral is "long non-coding RNA (GRAI_LNC001169)". Lineage: Eukaryota; Viridiplantae; Streptophyta; Magnoliopsida; Malvales; Malvaceae. The record is from RNAcentral.